GAUGAACGCUGGCGGCGUGCCUAACACAUGCAAGUCGAGCGAAGCACUUUGCUUGGAUUCUUCGGAUGAAGAGGAUUGUGACUGAGCGGCGGACGGGUGAGUAACGCGUGGGUAACCUGCCUCAUACAGGGGGAUAACAGUUAGAAAUGACUGCUAAUACCGCAUAAGACCACAGCACCGCAUGGUGCAGGGGCAAAAACUCCGGUGGUAUGAGAUGGACCCGCGUCUGAUUAGGUAGUUGGUGGGGUAACGGCCUACCAAGCCGACGAUCAGUAGCCGACCUGAGAGGGUGACCGGCCACAUUGGGACUGAGACACGGCCCAA
Molecule: ribosomal RNA, 324 nt
Filed under: uncultured bacterium
Lineage: Bacteria
Description: bacterial SSU rRNA
Rfam family: Bacterial small subunit ribosomal RNA
Source: RNAcentral